CGUGCCGAAUCACUUUCAUACUCUUCCGCCGUCGUUGCUUCCACACGCCAUUUUCUAAUAGAGUGUAUAGUUCGCUCGUGAGUUAUACCACGUUAACGUUUAUAUUUCUAAAUAUAAUACAACUGGUUGGUUGAAAUAGUGACAAAUUAAAAAAAAGUAAUUAUAGCGAAUAUGAGUUACGGUAGGCCACCGCCGCGUAUCGACGGCAUGGUGUCUUUAAAGGUUGACAAUCUAACUUAUAGAACGACGCCAGAAGAUCUCAGGCGUGUGUUUGAAAGAUGCGGGGAAGUUGGGGAUAUUUACAUACCACGAGAUCGUUUCACUCGUGAAAGUCGUGGUUUUGCCUUUGUGAGAUUCUAUGAUAAACGUGAUGCAGAAGAUGCAUUGGAUGCUAUGGAUGGAAGGUUGUUAGACGGUAGGGAACUUAGAGUUCAAAUGGCACGUUAUGGUCGACCAACCUCACCUCAUCGAAGUCGUGGAAGUCGCAGACGUGGCAGGUCACGCAGCCGUAGCAGAGAUCGCAGACGAUCUCGUACACGAUCACGUAGUAGGUCUCGUAGUCGUGAUAGAGAUCGUAGACGUUCCUACAGUCGUAGCCGCAGUCGUUCUCGCUCUGAUAGUAAAAGUUCUCGUGGGAAAUCUCGUUCUCGCAGCAAGUCUCAAGAGCGACAAAAAGACAGUCGUUCAAAAUCAAGAUAAGAUACUGGAAUAAAAGGAUAUACGAGUACCAGCAAAAUGAUUUACAUCCUUCGACCCACCAUAUUAUCUGUCUUGAGAAGAGAUUUGAAAAGGCGGUGGAAAGGAGUGGCAUGGCGAGUGUAGCCGAUGAUGGGGUAGCUGAGAGUAAGCUGUAAGCCGAGUAAGCAGGGCUGUAAGCAGUUUGCAGUAGCGAGCGGUUGGUGGUCUGGUGAAAGCAGGUUCGCGAGAGAUCGAUGCGAGAGAGUGUGCGAGCGAGCAGUCUCUUUGGGGGGUCGCACUGCAGAAUUUGCGGAUGGUACGGUCAAACGCAGAGAAUAAAAAAGCAGAACGCAAUCAGAGCAGCAGCACGCGGUUGCUGGUCGCAGAGACAUCGAUCCGGGUAGCAGGUAGCACGUGAGCAUAUCACCAGACACCUCGCGAACGAGAUUACGCGUCAGCUGAUAAGUUACCACAUCUAUCUUAGUUGUCAAUAAUUAUUUGACCAAUUAUUGGCUAUCGUUUUCGACACUUGCCGCCACAUAGUAAAAUUAAACUAGGUGGAAUUGUGCUCGAAGAAUAUCACAUGUUUUCUCCGCUCUUUCUUUUUUGUGUUUUUCUUCUAGGUUCUUCGAUAUAUAUAUCUCAACAGGAUUUUGGUGUUAACAUAUUAUAGAGGUGGUACCGGCAUACCAACCAGGUGUCCCAAUCGGAAGAUAAUAAGUAAAUAAAAAAAUGAAAAGAAUAAACUUGCUAAAUGGCAUAUUCUGUAAAUAAAAGACAAAAAUGUAGUAAGAUAUUAUGGGAUAAACUCUGAAGAAGAAUA
RNAcentral lists this unclassified non-coding RNA (1501 nucleotides) under Polistes canadensis. RNAcentral's name for it is "serine/arginine-rich splicing factor 2, transcript variant X2". Lineage: Eukaryota; Metazoa; Arthropoda; Insecta; Hymenoptera; Vespidae. The record is from RNAcentral.